UGGGGAAUAUUGCACAAUGGGCGCAAGCUUGAUGCAGCCAUGCCGCGUGUAUGAAGAAGGCCUUCGGGUUGUAAAGUACUUUCAGCGGGGAGGAAGGCGAUAAGGUUAAUAACCUUGUCGAUUGACGUUACCCGCAGAAGAAGCACCGGCUAACUCCGUGCCAGCAGCCGCGGUAAUACGGAGGGUGCAAGCGUUAAUCGGAAUUACUGGGCGUAAAGCGCACGCAGGCGGUCUGUCAAGUCGGAUGUGAAAUCCCCGGGCUCAACCUGGGAACUGCAUUCGAAACUGGCAGGCUAGAGUCUUGUAGAGGGGGGUAGAAUUCCAGGUGUAGCGGUGAAAUGCGUAGAGAUCUGGAGGAAUACCGGUGGCGAAGGCGGCCCCCUGGACAAAGACUGACGCUCAGGUGCGAAAGCGUGGGGAGCAAACA
RNAcentral lists this ribosomal RNA (427 nucleotides) under uncultured bacterium. RNAcentral describes it as "partial 16S ribosomal RNA". It matches the Rfam family "Bacterial small subunit ribosomal RNA", at positions 355 to 774 of the family's 1533-position model. The record is from RNAcentral.